CCUGGCUCAGAUUGAACGCUGGCGGCAGGCUUAACACAUGCAAGUCGAGCGGGGGAAGGUAGCUUGCUACUGGACCUAGCGGCGGACGGGUGAGUAAUGCUUAGGAAUCUGCCUAUUAGUGGGGGACAACAUCUCGAAAGGGAUGCUAAUACCGCAUACGUCCUACGGGAGAAAGCAGGGGAUCUUCGGACCUUGCGCUAAUAGAUGAGCCUAAGUCGGAUUAGCUAGUUGGUGGGGUAAAGGCCUACCAAGGCGACGAUCUGUAGCGGGUCUGAGAGGAUGAUCCGCCACACUGGGACUGAGACACGGCCCAGACUCCUACGGGAGGCAGCAGUGGGGAAUAUUGGACAAUGGGGGGAACCCUGAUCCAGCCAUGCCGCGUGUGUGAAGAAGGCCUUAUGGUUGUAAAGCACUUUAAGCGAGGAGGAGGCUACUUUAGUUAAUACCUAGAGAUAGUGGACGUUACUCGCAGAAUAAGCACCGGCUAACUCUGUGCCAGCAGCCGCGGUAAUACAGAGGGUGCGAGCGUUAAUCGGAUUUACUGGGCGUAAAGCGUGCGUAGGCGGCUUAUUAAGUCGGAUGUGAAAUCCCCGAGCUUAACUUGGGAAUUGCAUUCGAUACUGGUGAGCUAGAGUAUGGGAGAGGAUGGUAGAAUUCCAGGUGUAGCGGUGAAAUGCGUAGAGAUCUGGAGGAAUACCGAUGGCGAAGGCAGCCAUCUGGCCUAAUACUGACGCUGAGGUACGAAAGCAUGGGGAGCAAACAGGAUUAGAUACCCUGGUAGUCCAUGCCGUAAACGAUGUCUACUAGCCGUUGGGGCCUUUGAGGCUUUAGUGGCGCAGCUAACGCGAUAAGUAGACCGCCUGGGGAGUACGGUCGCAAGACUAAAACUCAAAUGAAUUGACGGGGGCCCGCACAAGCGGUGGAGCAUGUGGUUUAAUUCGAUGCAACGCGAAGAACCUUACCUGGCCUUGACAUACUAGAAACUUUCCAGAGAUGGAUUGGUGCCUUCGGGAAUCUAGAUACAGGUGCUGC
RNAcentral lists this ribosomal RNA (1032 nucleotides) under Acinetobacter baumannii. RNAcentral describes it as "bacterial SSU rRNA". It matches the Rfam family "Bacterial small subunit ribosomal RNA", at positions 18 to 1044 of the family's 1533-position model. The record is from RNAcentral. Lineage: Bacteria; Pseudomonadati; Pseudomonadota; Gammaproteobacteria; Moraxellales; Moraxellaceae.